GCCCUGCACAGAGUGUAAGCUAUCUUAAUGGAGAGGGAGAGCGUAUGGAAUGGACAGGAAGGAGACUUAUCCUGAGAGAGUGGGAUCUGCUGGAGAAAAGGAGCACAUCAGUGGGAGAUAUGCUUCCAGAGAAGGUGUGCUUUGGCGUACCUCAAGCUCAGCUUCCUUCAUCUGCAGCUCAUCCAACUUGGGCAGCUCCUUGGUCUGAGUUCGGAUGUAGCAUCUGUGGUGUUUGGCAAACCUGAUACCUGAAUCGCAAAUCUGAUGCUCUCUCAUCUCCUCUCAAGCUACCCCCCUCUGUACUGCAUAUGCCUGACACUUCACAUCAUCUUGCUCAAGCCUGCCAGUCCAUGGCAUGUGGAUGAAGCCUCCCCUUCAGCAUUGCUGCCUCCUCGUGUGUGUGUGGAGGGUAAUCCUGCUUGUGCAGUUUGCCAUCUC
This is a non-coding RNA of Electrophorus electricus (electric eel), 438 nucleotides long. Lineage: Eukaryota; Metazoa; Chordata; Actinopteri; Gymnotiformes; Gymnotidae. The record is from RefSeq and is a predicted model, not a curated record.